This 427-nucleotide ribosomal RNA is filed under the name uncultured bacterium. Its description in RNAcentral is "bacterial SSU rRNA". It matches the Rfam family "Bacterial small subunit ribosomal RNA", at positions 33 to 507 of the family's 1533-position model. The record is from RNAcentral.
ACGCUGGCGGCAUGCCUAACACAUGCAAGUCGAACGAGACCUUCGGGUCUAGUGGCGCACGGGUGCGUAACGCGUGGGAACCUGCCUUAGGUUCGGAAUAACUCAGAGAAAUUUGAGCUAAUACCGGAUGAUGUCUUCGGACCAAAGAUUUAUCGCCUUUAGAUGGGCCCGCGUAAGAUUAGCUAGUUGGUGGGGUAAAGGCUCACCAAGGCGACGAUCCUUAGCUGGUCUGAGAGGAUGAUCAGCCACACUGGGACUGAGACACGGCCCAGACUCCUACGGGAGGCAGCAGUGGGGAAUAUUGGACAAUGGGCGAAAGCCUGAUCCAGCAAUGCCGCGUGAGUGAUGAAGGCCUUCGGGUUGUAAAGCUCUUUUACUCGGGACGAUAAUGACGGUACCGAGAGAAUAAGCCCCGGCUAACUCCGUG